UCCUGCAACAGAAUUUGUUACAGUUAUCCUCUCUUCUCUUCUUUGGAAGGAAUCUCAUCAAUAAUAUCUUAAAAACAUCCUCGUUACCUUAUCCCCUUUUCAGUUGAGAUUUGGCAUGUUUUCUGAUUUCUCAUGAACUCGUGAACAUCUGAAAUACUUUUAAAUUGAUUGCAGUUUUACUAAAAGCAGAUUCACGGCGUCCCUCCCAGACUGCUCAUGGUCAAAGAACAUACCAAGGCCACUUCUCAGUAUGGUCAGAGAUUCACAGACCUGCCUGAGUUUUACAUUCACCACACAUACUUUCAAGGCUCCUUUCUGUCCCUGUAAGAAAGAAGACAGACCUUCUGAUGCGCAG
This is a long non-coding RNA of Felis catus (domestic cat), 355 nucleotides long. RefSeq lists it as uncharacterized. The record is from RefSeq and is a predicted model, not a curated record. NCBI's taxonomy places the organism in Eukaryota, Metazoa, Chordata, Mammalia, Carnivora, Felidae. The transcript is spliced from 2 exons.